GGAGAGAUGGCUGAGUGGCUGAAAGCGCACCCAUGCUAAGGGUGUAUAGGUUUAUUCCUAUCGAGGGUUCGAAUCCCUCUCUCUCCGCCA
RNAcentral lists this transfer RNA (90 nucleotides) under Mariprofundaceae bacterium. Its description in RNAcentral is "tRNA-Ser". It matches the Rfam family "tRNA". From Rfam's summary of the family: Transfer RNA (tRNA) molecules are approximately 80 nucleotides in length. Their secondary structure includes four short double-helical elements and three loops (D, anti-codon, and T loops). Further hydrogen bonds mediate the characteristic L-shaped molecular structure. tRNAs have two regions of fundamental functional importance: the anti-codon, which is responsible for specific mRNA codon recognition, and the 3' end, to which the tRNAs corresponding amino acid is attached (by aminoacyl-tRNA synthetases). tRNAs cope with the degeneracy of the genetic code in two manners: having more than one tRNA (with a specific anti-codon) for a particular amino acid; and 'wobble' base-pairing, i.e. permitting non-standard base-pairing at the 3rd anti-codon position. The record is from RNAcentral. Lineage: Bacteria; Pseudomonadati; Pseudomonadota; Candidatius Mariprofundia; Mariprofundales; Mariprofundaceae.